UAUUAACCUUUGAGCAGGCUAGUAAUGUUUGUUAGUAUUUUAGAGAAUCAGUGGUUGGUGUAAACUGAUAUGCUAUAUUCAUGAAUCCACCUGUGAGGGACUGUGAUUAAGCAGUACGGUUUUAACCGUUAUAAUUUUUGAGCGGAUGGAUUUUUUAAUCUAUCAAUUAGGGUGGCAACGCGGAGUUUUUCGUCCCUUUG
RNAcentral lists this non-coding RNA (200 nucleotides) under Sarcina ventriculi. Its description in RNAcentral is "Clostridium ventriculi T-box sequence". It matches the Rfam family "T-box leader". From Rfam's summary of the family: Uncharged tRNA acts as the effector for transcription antitermination of genes in the T-box leader family. T-boxes are found upstream of many aminoacyl-tRNA synthetase genes and some amino acid biosynthetic genes usually in Gram-positive bacteria. The record is from RNAcentral. Lineage: Bacteria; Bacillati; Bacillota; Clostridia; Eubacteriales; Clostridiaceae.